CUCGCUGCCAACUCCUCUCAUUCAAGAGUCUCUUCUGAGUUCAGUGGCCACUGCCUCCCCUAAGGUACUUCAGAAAAAAUACUACUGAAAAGUCCAAGGCAUCAAAUUCCUCAUUCGUGGGAUGUCGUCGUGAUACUGCCUUCUGGAGGUCGAUUACAAUAGUCUGCAUAGCUGAAAUAUGCUGAAUACUCAAUUCCAUGUACGGUGAUGCUGACCAUAGUUGUCCUUGGACCGUGAUGAUAUGUGGGCAGCAUUGUGUGAGCGGAGCCAGCCUCACAGUCGGUGUUUCUUGUGUGUGACAUCCAGAAGCUUGUCAUUGACAGAUGAAGGUGUGGAGAUCAAAGGAGGCUAAGAAGCUGAUAUCACUUCAGCAAGGAAUCCCUCUGGGAAGAAAAGGAAACAAAGGGGUCAGAGCCAGCUGUAAGCAGCUCGGAAUGCAGCCUCUUCAGCUCCUCCUGGCAGGCAGGAGCGUCGAAGACAGCCGCACAAUGCCAGACGAAUACUCAUCUCUUCAAGCAGUCCGUGGCCACCCCACCGAAGGCAGAUAAAACACUUUCGACGGUAUCACGUUUUAUCUCCCCUUUGUGGGCCAAGGGAAUAAAACACAGUUGCCAAACACAAA
This 622-nucleotide long non-coding RNA is filed under the name Mus musculus (house mouse). RNAcentral's name for it is "predicted gene, 34278". The record is from RNAcentral. Lineage: Eukaryota; Metazoa; Chordata; Mammalia; Rodentia; Muridae.